UGCAAGUCGAACGGUAGCAUGACUAGCUUGCUAGUUGAUGACGAGUGGCGAACGGGUGAGUAACGCGUAGGAAUAUACCUUUUUGUGGGGGAUAACUCGAGGAAACUCGAGCUAAUACCGCAUGUGCUCUUCGGAGUAAAGCCGGGGACCUUCGGGCCUGGUGCAAAAAGAUUAGCCUGCGUCCGAUUGGCUAGUUGGUAGGGUAAAGGCCUACCAAGGCGACGAUCGGUAGCUGGUCUGAGAGGAUGAUCAGCCACACUGGGACUGAGACACGGCCCAGACUCCUACGGGAGGCAGCAGUGGGGAAUAUUGGACAAUGGGCGCAAGCCUGAUCCAGCAAUGCCGCGUGUGUGAAGAAGGCCUGAGGGUUGUAAAGCACUUUCAGUGGGGAGGAAGGCUCAUGCUUUAAUAGAGUAUGAGAUUGACGUUACCUACAGAAGAAGCACCGGCUAACUCCGUGCCAGCAGCCGCGGUAAUACGGGGGGUGCAAGCGUUAAUCGGAAUUACUGGGCGUAAAGCGUGCGUAGGUGGUUUUGCAAGUUGGCUGUGAAAGCCCCGGGCUCAACCUGGGAUGGUCAGUCAAAACUGCAAGACUAGAGUACAAUA
This 606-nucleotide ribosomal RNA is filed under the name uncultured bacterium. RNAcentral's name for it is "bacterial SSU rRNA". It matches the Rfam family "Bacterial small subunit ribosomal RNA", at positions 56 to 653 of the family's 1533-position model. The record is from RNAcentral.